GUAUUUUCAUGUCAUAAACGAUCCAAAGGGGUACCAAUUAUUUGUAAAUAUAAAUAGACCUUUCUAGAGCUUAUUUUCAACCGUAAAUCAUUUUCACCAGUUUCUGUUCACGAAUACCGAGAGAAACCGAGCUGCGUUCUUCGUGUUCUUCGUAAUCAAACAAGGUUUUGAAGGUGUUAUUGGAAUCCGAUGGAGGCGUAUGAAUAGUCAAAACGAAGCUAUCGACGCGUAGAAUCUAGUACAAUCAUCCGUUUAUGUGCAGAUUGGUCAGGUGAUUUUAUAUUGAUUUUUCAAAAUUCGAAUUUAUAUGAUUUAAAUGAUGAAUUUUUGUAAACGUGAUUGUUUAAUUGUUUUGAUGAGUCCAUGAUGUAGAGCAUGUUUUUCUCGUCGUUUUGGUAUAUUAUAUGUUGAAUUUGGGGUUCGGAAUCAUAUAGAAACAGUGGUUUAAUUCUUGAGUAGGUGUUCUUGAGUGUUCUUCGUGGGUUAUGAAUAUUUUCAAUUGAGAUUUGGGCGUUUCUUAUCUGUUAAUCACAUGAGCAAUCGGUUGAUAUGGUUGGAUAGAGCGUGAAGAGAGGAACUUGUGGGUAUGUUCAAAAGUUAUGUGGGAUUCCCGGAAAGGGGUCACCGGAGUUUCGAAAGAAACUCGCCGGCGGGUUUUUUUGCUUCGAUUUUCCGGCCAUUCUUUGCGACGAUUGGUGAUUCUGAUUAUGGGUAUGGGUUUCUGGUAGUAUGAACUUCAAAUCUGGAGUUUAUGGGGUGUGUAUGACGUCGGAAAAUCGAUUUCCGGCGAGUUAGUGUGGUGGCCGGCGGCUUAUUGCUGUUUGGUCACCGAAGGUUUGAAGAUGAUGAAGUUUUUGUACUCAGGUUCUGAAACUUAUGAAUUACCCCCUGUAACUUUGAAAAGUUGCACUUUAAACCCUGGACAAAACUUUCAAAAGUUUACAAAAUAAACCUUUUGAUUUAAUUUUCAAAAAUUGUUUUAUUUAAUUAUUUUGAUUUUCAAAAAUAAUUUUUAAUUAUUUCUUUAUUUAAAAAUAAAUCUAAUUUGAUUUAUUAAUUAAUUUUAAUUAGUAAUUAAUUAUUUUAAUUGGUCAAUUAAUUUAAAUAUUAAUUGAUUAAUUAUUUUAAUUAAUUAUUAAUUGAUUUUAAUUGAUUAAUUAAUUGGAUUUAAUUAUCCUUUUUGAUUUAAAAAUUCCGAAAAAUAGUUUCGAGCUUUAAAAUAUUUUUCCAAAUUAUUUUCAAGGCUCGAUAAUUGUUUAUGAAUGAUUUCAAGUCCAAUUUCAAGUAUUUGGGACUUGAUUAUUUAUUCGAAAAGUGAUUCUUUUAUCGAUUUUAAUUCCGAAAAAUGUUUAAAAAUUCCAGAAAAUUCCCGAAAAAUCAUUUUUAACCCAAGACUUGAUUUAAUAUCAAUUGGGAUGGGAAACCUUAUGUGUUGUGUGUUGUCUGCUAUUGGUUGGAUGUGUUAUGUGCCGAUAGGAGAGUGAGAAAACUGUUUUGAGCAUAACUUUUGAUCCGUAAGUCGGAAUCAAGUGAAACGAAAGAGAGACGGAAGCUUAUAACGUCUAUUUUAAUAUGAUGUGACUAUAUGGCUGAGUCUAUAAGGUGAAUAAUUGUUGAUAAGUAUGCAUAAUGUGAUAAUAUGUGAUCUAAGUGCUAUCAAGUGAUGAUUAUGUGAAGUACGUGUUAGUUUUGAUAUUGUGAAGUGAUAAAUGAUUCGUAUGAUUGAUAUUGGAUAAGAAUAUAUGGAUUAUAGUUAUUGGAUUUUGUUGGUUGAUUAAUGAUUGAGAUAGGAUAACAGGUGGAUAGUCUUAUACAUAGACGAGACGAUGUCGGAUUUUCGAUAAGGAUUUAUAUGAUAAUUGAUUGGUGAUAUGUUAUGUGGAAUAUGAUUGACUAUAUGUUAGAGUCAAAGCAUGCUUAUGUGUUACGUGGUAUCUGAUAAGUUUAAAGGGGUAUAUAAGUGGGUAUCGAUAUACGUGAUAUGUAUAUGCGAUAUAUUGUUUAGUGACUAUAGUAUUAUCUUAUUCUCGUAAAGGAUUUGGACGAGACGUGUACGCUCGAAGACGUCAGAAAGUCGGAAUGGUAUUGCAAAGCGAAUAAGGGAUGAAUCGAGUAAGCGAAGCGAUGUGGCGAAUAGAGUAUAGCUAGAGAUGGUCUAGAGAUUACGAGAUGCAUAGAUUGUGAAAGUUGAAAGAUGAGAUUGAGCUGUGAGACUGGAGUCAGAUUUAAGGCAAGUAUCCUAAACCCUUCUCUUGGAUAUAUUGCAAAUAUUCUGAUCCAUUCCUUUGGUAUAUGUUUCAAGUAUUCAUACCUUUCUUUUCAAUGUUCGAAAGUGCGAGUAUUCUGACCCAUUCUUUCUAAUCUUCAAGUUUCUAAAGAAUUUCCGUUUUACAAAUUAAUUCGAAGUUCAGAUUGUCAUUGAAGCAUGUGUUGCUCAGUGAUAGUUAGAGCUUUGAAUGAAUUGGGAUCUUCUUGAUUAUUCAACCCGCCAUUGUCAUGCUGGUUUAGCAGGCUAAAUUCAGUUGCUUAGCCGAUAAUGGAGGAUACUGAAUAGUUGAGGAUUUCCUGAACUGUGAUUUAUGAAAUGAUGGAUCAUGAUUUAUGAAUAGAUUAUUAUCAAAGUUUGAAUUGGAAUUAUUCUGUUGUUGAUGAUAUUUAUGAUGAUGUUCUGUUAAUUUACAUUGGCUUCUUGAAUUGAAUUAGAGAAUUGGAUUAUUGUUUUUAUAUAAACCUGUGGACCAGAUUCGUGGUCAUGUUAGGCCAAUGAGUGCCUUGGAUCCAGUGAUAGAGCAUGGCGGGGCCUGCUCGGGGUUAGUGCGGAACUGAUCAGCUGCCUAACCUUGGUUUUAAUUAAAAUGUGAUAGUCCAAUUCAAUAAUUCUUUGGAAAGAUUGAAUUUCUCAGUUUAAAUGCUGCAAGGUAUUGUAAAUCAUUCUAUACAAUACCAUGAACUCAUGAACUCAGGUUGAAUCCUCUUAUAUCUUGAACUCGUGAACUUCUGUUAUAUCAUUUCAGAACUAUCAUUGUUUAUUAUUACUUGCUGAGCAUUGUUGCUCACCCUUGCUAUUCCUUUCUAACCAUUUCAGAAAGGCUUAAAGAUGAGAUGAUUGAUUGAGAUUGUGAGUAAGGCUAAUGCUAGGCGAGGAGACAGAGUUGAGGAUCCAGUGGUCGAGGAGUGUUCAGGAAAGUUGAUGAGGUUGGUGCAAGCUGGAAUAGUUGACAGUGAUUCUUCUUAUCGAAGAUGAUCUGAUUUGGUAAGAGAUGUUGUGUAAUAAUAGUGGUUGAUUCUAAUUUCAAUACUGUAACCUGGAAGCGAUCCUGCUGUUUUAAGGGGGUUAAAGUGUUCUCUUUUAAAUCUUUUAUUUAACGUCUUUCAAAUCCUUUAUUAAAUGUUUUCAAGUUUUAAAUUCUUUUGGAUUUUCAUUAUCUCUUAUAAAAAAAAA
Molecule: long non-coding RNA, 3442 nt
Filed under: Daucus carota (carrot)
Lineage: Eukaryota; Viridiplantae; Streptophyta; Magnoliopsida; Apiales; Apiaceae
Description: long non-coding RNA (DCAR_LNC005049)
Source: RNAcentral